This 181-nucleotide ribosomal RNA is filed under the name uncultured bacterium. RNAcentral's name for it is "partial 16S ribosomal RNA". It matches the Rfam family "Bacterial small subunit ribosomal RNA", at positions 1321 to 1500 of the family's 1533-position model. The record is from RNAcentral.
UGAAGUCGGAAUUGCUAGUAAUCGCAGAUCAGCAUGCUGCGGUGAAUACGUUCCCGGGCCCUUGUACACACCGCCCGUCACACCAUGAGAGUCGAUAACACCCGAAGCCUGUAGUCUAACCAUAAGGGGGACGCAGUCGAAGGUGGGAUUGAUAAUUAGGGUGAAGUCGUAACAAGGUAUC